Non-coding RNA from Schizosaccharomyces pombe (fission yeast), 1154 nucleotides. The record is from the annotation of a GenBank genome assembly. Lineage: Eukaryota; Fungi; Ascomycota; Schizosaccharomycetes; Schizosaccharomycetales; Schizosaccharomycetaceae.
AACUUUAUCGCCGACUGCAGCAACAACACCGGCUGCCUCUUUACCAGGUAUAUAAGGAAGAGGAGCAGUAUACAAACCGGUUCGCAAAUAAGUAUCUAUAUAAUUCAAUCCUGCAUAUGCAUUCUUAAUAACCAAGCCAUUGGGUGCUGGUUUGGGAAUUUCCUUCGUUAUUACUUGCAAAACGGAAGAUGGGCCGGUCUUGGAAACCUGCACUAAUAAAUUUGACAUAUUAUAAAAUUACUAAACAAGAAGAGCAAAUAAGUUGGUUUUAAAGCGUAAGUAAGGAUUAUGGGAACGAGUGGUAAUAGUUAUCGUUUUAUAAUAAUGAGGUUAGGCAUGGAGAUCGCAGUGCAACGAUUGAAUGAGCAAGAAAUGGCAUCGAUGUCGAUACAGGACACCCAACUUAUAGUUGGCAAGGAAUCUCCUAGAAGAAAAUUACUAAUCAAACAUGAUCUUGUUUUUUCGUAAAAAGACCAUUAAAAAGGGAAAAAGGAUGUUUGUAGAUACAAACAGAGAUGCGAUACAUGAAGAAUGGUAUAUUUAUAAAUGUUUUAGACGGUCUAAACGAGCAGCAAGCUCUUCAAAAGAAGGAGCUUUAUUAGAAUGUGUUAAUGUUGGAUUUGUGGGUAAAUAGUUAGAGGAUUGCAGUGAGGAUGCAUUUGUUGAUCCAUUAUUCUGAGGUUCAGCGCGUUUUGAAAUGUUAGCUAGAUUCCCAUUCACUUUUUCAUCAUCUUCUUGAGUGUUUUCUUCUUUCAAUGAAGUAGGUUGUUCACGAUUCUCAGAAGAUUCGAGGUUCAACAUUGUAUCAGCUUCAGCAGAAGAUGGGAUAUCUUUAUUAGCUUCUUUAGGAUAAUCAUUUGGAAAAUAAGUACGAAUUAACUCUUUUCUAUAGGCUUCGACUAGUUCAUCCUUUGGAAUAGGAGGGUAUAAAAGUUGGUAAAACUAGAAUUGAUUAGCAUACGAACUUUUUUUAGCGCGUUUUUUUAUUUUCAAUGAAAAUAAAUAACAGAAACUUACAGCAGUAUCAUUAGUAGCUAGAUCAGGGUCACUUAAUCUUGCAAACUCCUUGCCAUACAAUUUUACUAGAAAAUCAUGAACCUAUAAAUAAUAAACAAGUUAGUUAUAAAAAACUAAAUUUUAAAAAUUUAUCUUUA